UACGUAGGGUCCGAGCGUUGUCCGGAAUUACUGGGCGUAAAGAGCUCGUAGGUGGUUUGUCGCGUUGUCCGUGAAAACUCACAGCUCAACUGUGGGCGUGCGGGCGAUACGGGCAGACUGGAGUACUGCAGGGGAGACUGGAAUUCCUGGUGUAGCGGUGAAAUGCGCAGAUAUCAGGAGGAACACCGGUGGCGAAGGCGGGUCUCUGGGCCGUAACUGACGCUGAGGAGCGAAAGCGUGGGGAGCGAACAGG
Molecule: ribosomal RNA, 253 nt
Filed under: uncultured bacterium
Lineage: Bacteria
Description: partial 16S ribosomal RNA
Rfam family: Bacterial small subunit ribosomal RNA
Source: RNAcentral